This 204-nucleotide ribosomal RNA is filed under the name uncultured bacterium. RNAcentral's name for it is "partial 16S ribosomal RNA". It matches the Rfam family "Bacterial small subunit ribosomal RNA", at positions 146 to 334 of the family's 1533-position model. The record is from RNAcentral.
ACGGCGAGAAAUCGCCGACAACACCGCAUGGGCUUGCCUUUCUCAGUGAGGGAGGCAAGCAAAGCCCGGCUUCGUGAGAGGCUAGGCGCUGGGGGAUGGGCCCGCGGCCGAUUAGCUAGUUGGUGAGGUAACGGCUCACCAAGGCGACGAUCGGUAGCUGGUCUGAGAGGACGAUCAGCCACACUGGGAUUGAGAACGGCCCAG